This 110-nucleotide ribosomal RNA is filed under the name Pogona vitticeps (central bearded dragon). The record is from RNAcentral. Lineage: Eukaryota; Metazoa; Chordata; Lepidosauria; Squamata; Agamidae.
UCUCAGUUCAAUACCACCCUGAAUACAUCUAUCUCAUCUGAUUUGGGAAGCUAAGCAGGGCCAGGGUGACUGAUAGGGGACUCCCUAGUAAGGGCAGGUAGGGCUAGGAA